AACGAACGCUGGCGGCAGGCUUAACACAUGCAAGUCGAACGCGUGUAGCAAUACACGAGUGGCGCACGGGUGAGUAACGCGUGGAUAUCUGCCUUUUGGUUCGGAAUAACCCCGGGAAACUGGGGCUAAUACCGGAUGGUUCCUACGGGAUAAAGAUUUAUCGCCAAAAGAUGAGUCCGCGUACGAUUAGCUAGUUGGUGAGGUAAUGGCUCACCAAGGCGACGAUCGUUAGCUGGUCUGAGAGGACGAUCAGCCACACUGGGACUGAGACACGGCCCAGACUCCUACGGGAGGCAGCAAUGGGGAAUAUUGGACAAUGGGGGCAACCCUGAUCCAGCCAUGCCGCGUGAGUGAUGAAGGCUUUCGGGUUGUAAAGCUCUUUUGGCGGGGACGAUGAUGACGGUACCCGCAGAAUAAGCCCCGGCUAACUUCGUGCCAGCCGCCGCAGUAA
Molecule: ribosomal RNA, 451 nt
Filed under: uncultured bacterium
Lineage: Bacteria
Description: partial 16S ribosomal RNA
Rfam family: Bacterial small subunit ribosomal RNA
Source: RNAcentral